Long non-coding RNA from Sinocyclocheilus anshuiensis, 382 nucleotides. RefSeq lists it as uncharacterized. Lineage: Eukaryota; Metazoa; Chordata; Actinopteri; Cypriniformes; Cyprinidae. The transcript has 3 exons. The record is from RefSeq and is a predicted model, not a curated record.
AAGCAAAGAAAUCAGGAAUGAAAGUCUGAAAUGCACAUGUAGUCACAGGACUUCCUCUUGAAGAAGCUUGACACCGCCUGGGCUGAAGCUUUGGACGGAUUCGCAGCGGUUUUUACCACACAAUAGUGUCCAGAUUGUCUCACUAUAGCCGUUCAUGUCGAAUCAUAAACUCGCCACUGGAACGAGACACCUCUCUAACACGGAAUAUACAGUUUACUGCUUAGGAUAGAGACCUGUCUUCUGCACUCCAAAAGCGGUGAUGAAGAUGUUGAUGAUGACGGUAUUGGGCAUAAUGCAUGAUGGAUUUCACUCUCACCCAUGUGGACAAAGAGAGCCCCUACGAGCACUUGGAAGAAGAGAGACGCGGCGAUGAGGACGAUGA